Molecule: ribosomal RNA, 119 nt
Filed under: Pteropus alecto (black flying fox)
Lineage: Eukaryota; Metazoa; Chordata; Mammalia; Chiroptera; Pteropodidae
Source: RNAcentral
GUCCACGGCCAUGCUACCCUGAACAAGCCCGAUCCCAUCUGAUCUCAGAAGCUAAGCAGGGUCAGGCCUGGUUAGUACUUGGAUGGGAGACCACCUAGGAAGACCAGGUGCUAUAGGUG